UUGCUUUGGCAGCAAAUAUAUAAAAAUUGGAAGAAUGCAGAGAUUAGCAUGGCCCCUCGAGAAGGAUGACACAAAAAUUCAUGAGCACUGCAUUAAUUAA
This is a small nuclear RNA of Homo sapiens (human), 100 nucleotides long. The record is from Ensembl. NCBI's taxonomy places the organism in Eukaryota, Metazoa, Chordata, Mammalia, Primates, Hominidae.